GAAGGCGCUUCCCUUUAGAGCG
Molecule: microRNA, 22 nt
Filed under: Gorilla gorilla (western gorilla)
Lineage: Eukaryota; Metazoa; Chordata; Mammalia; Primates; Hominidae
Also listed under: 3 other names
Description: ggo-miR-525-3p
Gene: ggo-miR-525-3p
Source: miRBase by way of RNAcentral